AUUGAACGCUGGCGGUAGGCCUAACACAUGCAAGUCGAACGGCAGCACAGAGGAGCUUGCUCCUUGGGUGGCGAGUGGCGGACGGGUGAGGAAUACAUCGGAAUCUACUCUGUCGUGGGGGAUAACGUAGGGAAACUCACGCUAAUACCGCAUACGACCUACGGGUGAAAGCAGGGGAUCUUCGGACCUUGCGCGAUUGAAUGAGCCGAUGUCGGAUUAGCUAGUUGGCGGGGUAAAGGCCCACCAAGGCGACGAUCCGUAGCUGGUCUGAGAGGAUGAUCAGCCACACUGGAACUGAGACACGGUCCAGACUCCUACGGGAGGCAGCAGUGGGGAAUAUGGGACAAUGGGCGCAAGCCUGAUCCAGCCAUACCGCGUGGGUGAAGAAGGCCUUCGGGUUGUAAAGCCCUUUUGUUGGGAAAGAAAUCCAUCUGGUUAAUACCCGGGUGGGAUGACGGUACCCAAAGAAUAAGCACCGGCUAACUUCGUGCCAGCAGCCGCCGUAA
This 506-nucleotide ribosomal RNA is filed under the name uncultured bacterium. RNAcentral describes it as "partial 16S ribosomal RNA". It matches the Rfam family "Bacterial small subunit ribosomal RNA", at positions 30 to 523 of the family's 1533-position model. The record is from RNAcentral.